AGCGAACGCUGGCGGCAGGCCUAACACAUGCAAGUCGAACGGAUCCUUCGGGAUUAGUGGCGGACGGGUGAGUAACACGUGGGAACGUGCCCUUUGGUUCGGAACAACUCAGGGAAACUUGAGCUAAUACCGGAUGUGCCCUUCGGGGGAAAGAUUUAUCGCCAUUGGAGCGGCCCGCGUCUGAUUAGCUAGUUGGUGAGGUAACGGCCCACCAAGGCGACGAUCAGUAGCUGGUCUGAGAGGAUGAUCAGCCACACUGGGACUGAGACACGGCCCAGACUCCUACGGGAGGCAGCAGUGGGGAAUCGUGCGCAAUGGGCGAAAGCCUGAAGCAGCCAUGCCGCGUGAAUGAUGAAGGUCUUAGGAUUGUAAAAUUCUUUCAGCGGGGACGAUAAUGACGGUACCCGCAGAAGAAGCUCCGGCUAACUUCGUG
This 433-nucleotide ribosomal RNA is filed under the name uncultured bacterium. RNAcentral describes it as "partial 16S ribosomal RNA". It matches the Rfam family "Bacterial small subunit ribosomal RNA", at positions 29 to 507 of the family's 1533-position model. The record is from RNAcentral.